GAUGAACGCUAGCGAUAGGCUUAACACAUGCAAGUCGAGGGGCAGCACGCUUUCGGGUGGUGGCGACCGGCGCACGGGUGAGUAACACGUAUGCAACCUACCUUUUACUUGGGGAUAGCCCGUUGAAAGACGGAUUAAUACCCAAUGAGACAGGGGUACCACAUGGUAAUAUUUGUUAAAGAUUCAUUGGUAAAAGAUGGGCAUGCGCAGGAUUAGGUAGUUGGUAAGGUAACGGCUUACCAAGCCCACGAUCCUUAGGGGAACUGAGAGGUUUAUCCCCCACACUGGUACUGAGACACGGACCAGACUCCUACGGGAGGCAGCAGUGAGGAAUAUUGGUCAAUGGGCGCGAGCCUGAACCAGCCAAGUCGCGUGAAGGAUGAAGGUAUUAUGUAUUGUAAACUUCUUUUAUGGGGGAAUAAAGUGCGGGACGAGUCCUGUUUUGUAUGUACCCCAUGAAUAAGCAUCGGCUAACUCCGUGCCAGCCGCCGCCGUAAAAC
Molecule: ribosomal RNA, 500 nt
Filed under: uncultured bacterium
Lineage: Bacteria
Description: bacterial SSU rRNA
Rfam family: Bacterial small subunit ribosomal RNA
Source: RNAcentral